Molecule: small nucleolar RNA, 125 nt
Organism: Protopterus annectens (West African lungfish)
Lineage: Eukaryota; Metazoa; Chordata; Ceratodontiformes; Protopteridae
Product: U8 small nucleolar RNA
Exons: 1
Source: RefSeq, a predicted model, not a curated record
UUAUGAGUGAGGUUAAUUUUUUUCUCUUUGGGAGAAAUGGAGCAUGAUGAUUUGGGGGUAAUGAGGCUGUGAUUAUACUUUUCUGGUUUGUGAGUACAACAGUCUGUACAUUAACCAUAUCUGAU